GACGAACGCUGGCGGCGUGCUUAACACAUGCAAGUCGAACGGAAAGGCCCUGCUUGCAGGGUACUCGAGUGGCGAACGGGUGAGUAACACGUGGGUGAUCUGCCCUGCACUUCGGGAUAAGCCUGGGAAACCGGGUCUAAUACCGGAUAGGAGCCAUUUUUAGUGUGAUGGUUGGAAAGUUUUUUCGGUGUAGGAUGAGCUCGCGGCCUAUCAGCUUGUUGGUGGGGUAAUGGCCUACCAAGGCGGCGACGGGUAGCCGGCCUGAGAGGGUGGACGGCCACAUUGGGACUGAGAUACGGCCCAGACUCCGACGGGAGGCAGCAGUGGGGAAUAUUGCACAAUGGGCGCAAGCCUGAUGCAGCGACGCCGCGUGGGGGAUGACGGCCUUCGGGUUGUAAACUCCUUUCGCUAGGGACGAAGCUUUUUGUGACGGUACCUAGAUAAGAAGCACCGGCUAACUACGUG
This 465-nucleotide ribosomal RNA is filed under the name uncultured bacterium. Its description in RNAcentral is "partial 16S ribosomal RNA". It matches the Rfam family "Bacterial small subunit ribosomal RNA", at positions 28 to 507 of the family's 1533-position model. The record is from RNAcentral.